AUGAGUUGUUUGAGCUAGAACUGCCAGGGGAUUGGGAACCCUGAGGAAGUUCAUGAGCUUCGGAGUAUUGUGAAAAUGGAAGGUCCCACUCUUCUAUUUGUUAAGGAAACGAAAAUUAGAGCAAAAAGAGUUGAUGAUUUACAACAUACUCUUGGUUUCGGAGGUUGCUUUGAUGUUGACAGUGCCGGCCUUAGUGGCGGCAUUGGUUUGUUUUGGUUCUAG
This 222-nucleotide ribosomal RNA is filed under the name Triticum aestivum (bread wheat). RNAcentral describes it as "partial small subunit ribosomal RNA". The record is from RNAcentral. Lineage: Eukaryota; Viridiplantae; Streptophyta; Magnoliopsida; Poales; Poaceae.